This 854-nucleotide ribosomal RNA is filed under the name marine metagenome. RNAcentral's name for it is "bacterial SSU rRNA". It matches the Rfam family "Bacterial small subunit ribosomal RNA", at positions 315 to 1187 of the family's 1533-position model. The record is from RNAcentral.
GGGACUGAGACACGGCCCAAACUCCUACGGGAGGCAGCAGUGGGGAAUCUUGCACAAUGGAGGAAACUCUGAUGCAGCGAUGCCGCGUGAGUGAAGAAGGCCCUUGGGUUGUAAAGCUCUUUCGUCGGGGAAGAAAAUGACUGUACCCGAAUAAGAAGGUCCGGCUAACUUCGUGCCAGCAGCCGCGGUAAUACGAAGGGACCUAGCGUAGUUCGGAAUUACUGGGCUUAAAGAGUUCGUAGGUGGUUGAAAAAGUUGGUGGUGAAAUCCCAGAGCUUAACUCUGGAACUGCCAUCAAAACUUUUCAGCUAGAGUAUGAUAGAGGAAAGCAGAAUUUCUAGUGUAGAGGUGAAAUUCGUAGAUAUUAGAAAGAAUACCAAUUGCGAAGGCAGCUUUCUGGAUCAUUACUGACACUGAGGAACGAAAGCAUGGGUAGCGAAGAGGAUUAGAUACCCUCGUAGUCCAUGCCGUAAACGAUGUGUGUUAGACGUUGGAAAUUUAUUUUCAGUGUCGCAGUGAAAGCGAUAAACACACCGCCUGGGGAGUACGACCGCAAGGUUAAAACUCAAAUGAAUUGACGGGGACCCGCACAAGUAGUGGAGCAUGUGGUUUAAUUCGAAGAUACGCGCAGAACCUUACCAACACUUGACAUGUUCGUCGCGACUUUAAGAGAUUAAAGUUUUCGGUUCGGCCGGACGAAACACAGGUGCUGCAUGGCUGUCGUCAGCUCGUGUCGUGAGAUGUUGGGUUAAGUCCCGCAACGAGCGCAACCCUCACUUUUAGUUGCCAUCAUUUAGUUGGGCACUCUGAAAGAACUGCCAGUGAUAAGCUGGAGGAAGGUGGGGAUGACGUCA